This 253-nucleotide ribosomal RNA is filed under the name uncultured bacterium. RNAcentral's name for it is "partial 16S ribosomal RNA". It matches the Rfam family "Bacterial small subunit ribosomal RNA", at positions 524 to 776 of the family's 1533-position model. The record is from RNAcentral.
UACGGAGGGAGCUAGCGUUGUUCGGAAUUACUGGGCGUAAAGCGCGCGUAGGCGGCUCUGUAAGUUAGAGGUGAAAGCCCGGGGCUCAACCCCGGAAUUGCCUUUAAGACUGCAUCGCUUGAAUCCGGGAGAGGUGAGUGGAAUUCCGAGUGUAGAGGUGAAAUUCGUAGAUAUUCGGAAGAACACCAGUGGCGAAGGCGGCUCACUGGACCGGCAUUGACGCUGAGGUGCGAAAGCGUGGGGAGCAAACAGG